RNAcentral lists this long non-coding RNA (9985 nucleotides) under Eucalyptus grandis. RNAcentral describes it as "long non-coding RNA (EGRA_LNC003897)". The record is from RNAcentral. Lineage: Eukaryota; Viridiplantae; Streptophyta; Magnoliopsida; Myrtales; Myrtaceae.
AAAUAUUUGAGUUCGGAUACAAAACCAUGACCAAACGUUGGGACAGACUGAGGAAGACAUUGUCCAUGUCAAACAGAUUCUCUCUCCAGAAAGUACCACCUGAAAACUGCACCUAUUUCCAGAAAGUUAGGGAACCAACUCCAGGUGAGAAUUUGCCACAACCCUAUAACUUAUUUACAACGCGAGGAGCAAAUGUGAUAAGAUGACAGAUCAAUAUAAUUUUAUGAUGAUUCAUCAGUAGCAUUCUUUUCAAAAUGUGGACCGAGUUUCUCUAUCAACAUGUGUUACACAGCUUUUGUCUGAAAAAUACCCCAGUAAUGCCCUUUGCAGUCUUAUACACAUGUAUUUAGAAGAGGAUCUCUCUUAUGUUACGCAUCAGCAAAACUGUUGCCAAAUUCCAAGGGGUGUCGAUGUGAGUUCUCUCUUUCCCGUUUUGGCUGUAUUCUUUUUCACAAAUUAACUGGAGCAUUUAUGGCAGCUUAUGCAUGGGUGAAAUGUGAGAGGGAGGAAGACAAGAACUGCAUUGAGAUCCUAAAUGCGGCCAAAAUCCUUGGUAGAGGAGGGAGCAUCUUCCAUGACGACGAUAGGUACGCAAGGCUCAGCCUCAUUAGGAGCGACGACGAUUUUGACAUGCUGAUAAGCCGAUUAGAGAGCCUAGUCGCCAAGGAAGAUGGAGCCAAAAUCAUGUAAUUGUGAAGAAAGAAGAACAGUCAAUCUCGUGUUGAUCUAUGAUUCUGGACAAAGUGAUUGAAUCAUAGGUAUAUACCGUGCGACCUAGAGUGAAGGUCAUGACUAUUGACCUAUUUAAGAAAGAGUAAAGUGAUAGGUCUUAGUUUGUUAGAUGGAGACAAGACCAUGUGAUUGUGAAGAAAGAAGAAUAGUCAAUCUCGUAUUGAUCUGUGACUCUAAAUAAAGUAAUUAAAUCAUAGGUACAUAUCAUGUGAAUUAGAGCGAAGGUCAUGACUAUUGACCUCUUUAAGAAAGAGUGAUGUGAUGGUCUUAGUAUGUAAGAUGGAACCAAAGUCAUGUGAUUAGGAAGAAAGAAAAAUAGUCAAUCUCGUGUUGAUUUGUGAUUGUGGACAAAGAUAUUAAAUCAUAGAUAUAUUUCUUGUGAACUAGAGUGAGGGUCAUGACUAUUGACCUCUUUAAGAAAAAGUAAUGUGAUGGGUCUUAGUUUGUAAAUUGAGACAAGAUCAUGUGAUUGUGAAGAAAGAAGAAUGAUCAAUCUCGCGUUGAUAUGUGAUUCUAGACAAAGUGAUUAAAUCAUAGAUAUAUAUCGUGUGAAUUAGAGUGAGGGUCAUGACUAUUGACCUCUUUAAGAAAAAGUAAUGUGAUGGGUCUUAGUUUGUAAAUUGAGACAAGAUCAUGUGAUUGUGAAGAAAGAAGGGUAGUUAAUCUCGCGUUGCUUGAAGUGAUUAAAUCAUAGGUAUAUAUCGUGUGAAUUAGAGUGAGGGUCAUGACUAUUAGCCUCUUAAAGAAAGAGUAAUGUGAUAGGUCUUAGUAUGUAAGAUGGAACCAAAACCAUGUGAUUGUGAAGAAAGAAAAAUAGUCAAUCUCGCGUUGAUUUGUAAUUGUGGAUGAAGUUAUUAAACCAUAAGUAUAUUUAUUGUGAACUAAAGUAAGGGUCAUGACGAUUGACCUCUUUAAGAAAAAGUAAUGUGGUAGGUCUUAGUAUGAAAAGAUGAAACCAAAAUCAUGUGAUUGUGAAGAAAAAUAACAGUCAAACUCACAUUGAUCGAUAUGAUUCUGGACAAAGGGAUUUAAUCAUAGGCAUGUUUCUUGUGGACUAGAGUGAGGAUCAUGACUACCAACCUCUUUAAGAAAUAGUAAUGUGACAGGUCUUAGUUUGCAAGAUAGAGGCAAAACCAUGUGAUUGUAAAGAAAGAAAAAUGGUCAAUCUCACGAUUACGGAUAAAAUGAUUAAAUCAUACAUAUAUUUCGUGCAAACUAGAGUGAGGGUCAUGACUAUUGACCUCUUUAAGAAAAAGCAAUGUGAUAGAUCUUAGUUUGUAAGAUAAUACCAAAACCAUGUAAUUGUUAAGGGGGAAAAAAAGCAAUCAUCUCACGUUGAUAAGUAGUUAAAUCAUAUGUAUAUUUCCCGUGAAUUAGAGUGACCAUUGACCUCUUUAAGAAAGAGUAAUGUGAUAGGUCUUAGUUUACAAGAUGGAGACAAAACCAUAUGAUUGUGAAGGGGAAAAAAGUCAAUUUCGCAUUGAUUUAUGAUUCUAAACAAAGUGAUUAAAUCAUAAAUAUAUUUUUUGUGAACCAAAGUAAGGGUCAUGACUAUUGACCUCUUCAAGAAAGAUAAUGUGAUAAGCCUUAGUUUGUAAGAUGGAGUCAAAAGCAUAUGAUUAUAAAGAAAGAAAGGCGGUCGAUCUCACGUUGAUUUGUGAAUUUGGAUAAAGUGAUUAAACCAUAGUAUAUUUCCCAUGAACUAGAGUGAGGAUCUUGACUUUGACCUCUUUAAGAAAGCACAAUGCAAUAGGCCUUAAUUUGUAAGAUGGAGCCAAAACCAUGUGAUUGUGAAGGUAAAAAAGUAGCCAAUCUCACAUUGAUAUGUGAUUGUAAACAAAGUGAUUAAAUCUUAGGUAUAUUUCCUGCGAACUAGAGAGAGGAUCAUGACUAUUAACCUCUUUAAGAAAGCGCAAUGUGGUAAAUCUUAGUUUAUAAGAUGAAUGUGAAGAAAGAAAAAAAUCAAUGUUGCAUUGAUCCGUGAUUUUGGACAAAGUGAUUAAAUCAUAGGUAUAUUUCUUGUGAAUUAGAGUGAGGGUCAUUACUACUGACCAUUUUAAGAAAGAGUAAUGUGAUAUAUUUUAGUUUGUAAUAUAUUGCAAACAUUGGUAUAACACAAUACAAUAAAGCAAGACUAUACAUUUCUCUUUUCAUGAGGAGCCACUUUUAAUUGUGGUCUUCAAAUCAUACGCCAUGCUUGAUUAUCACCCUCCUCGACAUUGUCAUCCUACUGGAGUUUUGCAGACACAUUGCACUUACUCUGCCCUUGUAAGCACUUUGUAAGUCUGAUAUGUGCCUAAAUAAUUAUAUCAAACAACUCUUUCUUUUUGGCCAUAGAUUGCUAAAACGACUUAACUAUCUACCCUUCCUUCAAAAAGUACUAUAAAGUUGAAAAUGAAGAAGAAACCAUUUGCACAUAGCACAGCAAAGAGCUCCAAAGUCAAGACAAUAAUGAGUCUUUGGUCGGAGGCUUCACAGUGCAACCCUAAAAUGGAGGGGCAUAAGAGUUUCAUAUCAGCAAGGGAUAAGAGAAUAAAUCCUUUUCGAACUCAUCAUGCGAAAAGCCCACACAUGUCAAUGGGGAAUAGUUUUUUUAUAUGUUCACCUGUUUAUAAAUGACAAAAUAGCUCAAAAGAAACAGGGAGUGCCUCCCAUAGUGCCAAGAUUUGAAUUGAAAUAAUACUCAAAACUGUGAACUUUUAUUCGUGUAAAAUUCUGUAGUGUGUUAAUUCUGAAUGUCCUAAAAAAUUUAGGUUUAGCAUUGCUCAUUUGUCAGAAGACACGGUUACAAAAUCAGGUACCCUCCACAAAUGGGCUCUUUUCCCCUUCUUCCCCCUCCUCUCCAGUUUCUGCAUUUCUUUCUUCUUCAUUUCUUCUUUAACAAUCAUCUAAUUUAACCUCUGCCACACUCACUAAUAGGAUUGUCUCACAUGGUUUGACAUACAUAGCUACCAUAGAAAAUACAGAGCUGAUGAAUAAAGGCAUAGAUGCCACAACUGCAGUGAACACAGUUUAACUCACAAUGAGAAAUUAUUCUAAUCGGAGUACUCACAAGAACGUUGAUGUAACACCACAGCUUUGAGACAAAAGUUAGGGUAUUAUAUAUAGUCUAGGAGUUAGAAUGAAAUACUCUAUCACAGGUUGGUAGGGUUGAGAGCGCAACCUAGCAAAUCCAUGCAGUAAAAUACAAUAUAAUACAAUAAAACUACAUGAAAAUGAGAUACAUUUUUGGAACUUUAGCCAUUUUCGCCAUUUUAAAGUCAUUUUUUAGUAUUCUAACGUUUCUGGACAUUUUUUGAGAGUUCAGCAUACCAGAGCUACAAUCACCUUGUACAAAGCCGAAGAUGUCUGAAGCUAAGUCCAGUGACAUUUCGAUGCCACGGACGAACUAAAGAAAGAUGGCUAGAGCUAAAAGACAAGAAAUCUGAGCCAAGCGGGUGCACUGGUGAUGAGAAUGAAAAAGCAUUGGAUGGCGGACUGCAAGGUGAAAGAUGGAUGAAGAAAUCAACUACACAUUUGCAAGAUGAAGAAAUCAUCUUUGGGAGAGCGAGAGAAUGUUUGGCCAAACUCGAAGCUCCUCCCGCGAACUUUUGGCAUUUUCCACUGAAAUGAAAUAUAACUUUCUUAUCUUUAAAUAAUAAUAAUAAUAAUAAUAAUAAUAAUAAUAAUAAUAAUAAUAAUAAUAAUACAGUUUGUUUAUUAAUGCAUACGUAUUAUGAUAAUGUAAUUUUAGCAUCAAAUAAAAUGGAAUAAGUACAUUGGAUGUCUUAAAAUUUGUCACGAAAAUGCAAUUGAAUCCUAAAACUUUCAAAAAGAACAAUCAAGUCCUAAAACUUGUUAUUACGACUUCACUCCAGUCACUAGCCCUGCCUUCGGCAUCCCCCUCCUUGUGGUUAAGGUAAUGACUUCGGGCAUGAAAGUUCACCUGAGUCCUAAAAUUUUCAAAAAUUUCAAUCAAGUCUUAAAACUUGUAAUGAAAAUACAAUUAAAUCUUAAAACUUUCAAAAAGUGCGAUAAUUGGAAUGACCUAGAUUGGACUAAUUUCAUAAGUUUCAAGACUUGAUUGCAUUUUUUUGAAAGUUUUAGAACUCAAUUGUAUUUUGUGACAAGUUUUAAGACUUUAUUUCACUUUUUGAAAAUUUUAAGAUUCAAUUGCACUUUGUGACAAAUUUUAAGACUUAAUUUCACUUUUUGAAACUUUAUGACUCAAUUACACUUUAUGACAAAUUUUAGAAAUUUCAAUGCAUUUAUUCCAAAUAAAAGUCAUAUCUCAAGUUCUAAGGACUUAAGCCGAAUUGAGAGAGAGAGAGAGGAUGAGGCAUGGAAGGUGAUGUCGGAAAACAAAACAGGCGGCUUUCUCCAGCGUUUGAGUUUUUCUUUUUUUUACUUAAAUAAAAAAGGGCUUCCUUUGAAUUUCUUUAGCUCUAAACAGAGAGGCCCAUGAAAGUCAGCCCGAUUGGGUUUGCUCAAUAUGAAGCCCAAAUCAAUGGUCGACUUGAGGACCAUUUGGAUUUUUUUUUUUUUUUUGGAUAAGUGUCUUACAAAUCUUUGUCACAAAUGUACAAUUGAAUCCUAAAAUAGUCAAAAAGUAUAACUGAGUCCUAAAAAACUCAUCAUAAAAGUACAAUGGAUUUCUUUUCAAAAAGUGCAAUUAAAUACAAAAAAUUAUAAAGUUGGUGAAAUCAAAUCCUUUCAUUAACUACAUCCAACUUGAUAAAUGUAAAAUUAUAGCAGUUUUUAGGAUUGAUUGCAUUAACUUGAUAAAUUUUAAGACUUGAUUGCACUUUUUAAAAUUUUAGAACUUAAUUAUACUUUUGAAAUAAAUUUUCAGAUUCAAUUACAUUUUUUGAAAAUUUUAGAAUUCAAUUGCACUUUCGUGACAAGUUUUUUAGGACUUUAAGUGCAUUUAUUCUUUUAUUCUUUUUUUAUGUUUUAUUUUUCUCUAUAUAUAUCAAAACUUCGUUUGUUUCGCAGAAAAUAUUUUCCAGGAAAAUACCUAUCGAAUUUUUCAUGAAAAUUGUUGUCCCCACUUUUUAAGACAAAAUCCUAGCUCUCGAAUCAAAAAGUCUCUACAAUUCAUUUCACUUAGCCCCAACCUAGCCAACACGAACAAGAUUCUCACGGGAUUGGGAUUAGUUCUUCGUCGUCCUCAAUGAACGAUCUACGCCAUCUAAUCUUGAACCACAUGAUCAACAUGGCAUGGCAACACAAUUCUUUCCACAUCAUCUACUUUCUCCUUAGGGUUCAAUUGUUAUUUGUAUGAUGUGAAUUUGAAGUAAAUGUAUGGCAAGGAACGAGCUGGGUUGCUAGUUCACGAAGCUCUGUAAGGGCAUAGCGAUGCUUGUGGGAGGCCACAUUGCAAUGCAAAUCCUUCUUACGGCUAUCAAUUAUCUUGCUUUGAUUCACGCAACGCUUUGUUAGUUCCGCUAGUGUCUUGAUCAAUCAAUUUCUUUUUUCAUCUUUUUUAUUAUUUUUUAUUGGAGGGUCUGCUUUGCAUGCCUUGACAAGGAAAUAUCCUUCCACUAAUUUUAAAGUAGAAAUCGAUAAUACAAGUAGAAAUCGAUAAUACAAGUCCUAAAACUUAUUGAGAAAACAAUGAUGUAAAUAGAUAUAAAAACUCUAGCAGGUUAAAUUUAAAUAAUUGACUCAAAGUGGGAUCAAUUUCAAGAGUUACUCAAGGGCUUCCUAUUUUUAACUUAUAAUUUUGAUUUUAUAUCUUGCUUGUUAUUCCGCAUAAAAAAGUGAUUCAUAAAAUUUAGAAUUAGUAGAGACUUUCUUCUGAGCUAAACAUUGCUUUGAAAAUUCUUCUCCCUUUUUUUUUUACAUAUGACAAAACAAAAUUCAGAACCAUAUCCACCCUGCUAGGGAAAAUCGAGGAAAGUGAAUCCAGCACCAACCACAGACAAAAAAGUACAGAAUGUGAUGCACGGAAGGGGCACCUCUAGAAGACCUAAUCUCUAAGAGAAUAGCACUCAUAAAAGUUCAAGUUUUACAGAAAGGAAAUGAUGUCCUACUCUCUAAACUGUUCUGACUUCUUAUAGGAUUGAUUUUGCUUCGUGCUCCGUCGUUUUCAAGGCCGACCGAUAUGAUCGAUCACGGUUAAAGCAUACUCCCGUUCGCUUAUGGGGGAAAAGGUUUAUGAGCACAUGUCCCGUUGGUGUAGAGAAUGAAGUCGUGAGUUUCCGUAAAUCAGUUUCUACCGCUCAAAAUUAUACUUGAAAAUCCUAAUUCAUAUGGAAAAUCCUCAAUCAAGUAAUUAACAAAAAAAAACAGAGAAACUAGUUCACGUCCACACACGUGUAUCAUGAUGUCAUGGCACUAGAAUCGCAGGUGGUGCGCUGUGUUCUUUAACUUUAGGCUCGAAUUUGAAAUUUCUUGCGAACGUCAGGUGGAUCAAUUUUUCAUACAACGGUCCACGUGACCGAUCUCCCAUUGGUUGGAGCGUUGGAACGUCAUUGAGGACGCAGGAGGACGAGCUAAAUCCCGUCACCUUCAUCUCCAUCUCAUACUCUUGGCUAAUUGGCUUUUCCUUUCACCAACUACGUUAGACUAUUCCACCCGUCGUUCUCUGUGCUCUGUUCUUCUCCUUGAUUCCCUCUCUCUCACUGAAAAUAUUCCUGGUUGGAGAUACAGAGGGAGGGAGAGAGUUUUGGUGAUGAGAGCAUGGCCAGAUCAGAGGGCUCAAUCUUUAAGCUAUGCUUCUUGUGUUCCGUGAUUGCGAAUCUCUUCUUCGGGGUGAAUCUCUACGUGGGUCGCCGUGGCGUGUGGGGGUGGAAGUGGCGCGGCGAUGAGGUGAGCAUCCAAGGCCUGAGUUGGAGCGGGAGGGCAGCGGCGGAGGCCGAGUUGGCGGCGGCGCGGGAGUGCUCGGGCCACGGGAGGGCGUACCUCGACGGCGUGGUGGUCGACGGGAGGCCGGCCUGUGAGUGCAACACUUGCUACGGCGGUCCAGAGUGCUCCCUCUUCUUGCCCUCUUGCUCUGCCGAUGCCGACGAGUUAGUUUCUGCGUCUCGAACUCUCGAUCAAUCCCGAACAAAUGGUCAAACUAAUCUCGUCAGAUCACGACAACGACCGCAUAACUACCCCCUUGGGGAAGAACACUGACAAUUCUCAAUUAUCUGUCGUUUUAAGUUGAACUCAUGUCAAUCAUUAACUACAGGACAUGAAAGCCUUUCGUUCCUUAUUUACGUCGUUGGAACAUGCGCAGAUAUCAAUAAAUUGUUACUGUAAUAAGGAUAGCUGACAGUCCCAUCCCGAAUUAGAUUCGAAAUAAAAGGUUUUCCUGAGGAAUUCACUGAAUCAGUGUUACUAAUUGCCCUUUGAAAGAUUCUCCGUCACCCGUGGAAUGCCAAUGUGAAUAUCCAAGGCCUUAGUUAGAUGCGAACAUGUAACUUUUCACCUCAGUUUAUUAUUCGAGUAGUGAAAGUUGGCAUGUUCACCUGUAGUAUCACCAUCUUCAGUAUGAUACUCAAAUUAGAAGCCUUGAGCGUGUUCUUUGUUCCUAUUCACAUUAUGUGAAAAUUCAUGGAUCAGUGGUGCACCUACCUGCAUGUGCCCCUUAUGGAUCGGAACCAAUCUUCCACUCGGCACGUAUUGGGGUUUUUAUGUUUCAGGCUUUCAUGGUCCUGUCAGGCUAUGACACCUUGGGUAUGCGAGUGUUAACUCAUUAAGUCUAAACCACCUUGUGUUGGUAAUGGUUUAAGGUUUUAGAACAGGGAACGGCAUUUUCCAUUCUUUCCAAAUUUCCUUAAUUCACAGUCCUUCAAUUUUAUUUUAUUGUUUGGUUGCAGCGGAGAUCCAUUGUUCUUGGAGCCAUUCUGGAAGCAGCAUGCAGAGAGCAGUGCAGUAGUGGUGGCGGGGUGGCACAGAAUGAGCUACUCCUUCAGUGACCAGACCACCUUGUCCAAAGAGCUUGAGUCUCUCCUCAGGAAGCUGCACUCCCUGGUUGGGAAUGCCAUCACAGACGGCAAAUACAUUUUGUUUGGUGUUGGCUCUACCCAACUCCUCAGUGCUGCUGUCCAUGCUCUCUCUCAUCUCAACUCUUCAUUUCCUGCUUCAGCUGUUGCCUCAAUCCCCUAUUAUGCGGUCAGCAUUUUUCCUUUCGCGAGCUUGUAAUGGACCCUGUGUUUCGUCCUGCUCCAUCCUUACGCUAAAUUUUGACGUAAUUUCACCGUUCGGGUAUCGGUGUUUUUCUUCUUCUUCACAGCUUUAUCAAAUGCAAACAGAGCUCUUCGACUCAGCAGACUGCAGCUUUCAGGGAGACCCGGUGCGUUGGAAGAACGUGACCAACACAACUGGAGACAUCAUCGAGUUCGUGACAGCACCGAACAAUCCCGAUGGACAGUUAAAUGAGGCCAUUCUCCAUGGCCCUAAUGUUAAAACUAUUCACGACCGCGCUUAUUACUGGCCACAUUUCACCGGAAUUCCUUCCCCAGCGGACGAGGACCUCACUAUCUUCACUAUCUCUAAGCUCACUGGUCAUGCCGGUAGCAGAUUCGGGUAAAUAUGCCAAAACCCUUAACUUUUUCCCCAGAUUCCGAUGUUUCCUGCUAUAUAUCACGGUUCAAAUUGUACUUUGAUGUUGCUGAUUCAGCUGACUGUAUCAUUGCUUUCGGUAAAGUCUUCUAGCUUGCCCAUUGGAGAUCAAUUCUUUCAUUGUUUACAUUGGCUAUCAAUAGAUGGGCAUUCAUAAGGAAUGAAGAGGUGUACCAAAGGAUGAACACAUUCCUGCAAUUGAACACGAUGGGCGUCUCGAGGGACACCCAGUUAAGAGCUCUGAAGCUUCUGAAAGUAAUCAUCGAAGAUGGAGGGAGGGAAAUAUUCAAGUUCGGAUACAAAACCAUGGCCAGACGUUGGGACAGACUGAGGAAGACACUGUCCACGUCAAACAGAUUCUCUCUCCAGAAAGUAGCACCUGAAAACUGCACCUAUUUCCAGAAAGUUAGGGAACCAACUCCAGGUGAGAACUUGCCACAACCCUAUAACUUCUUUACAACGGGAGGAGCAAAUGCGAAUAAGAUGACAGAUCGAUAUAAUUGUACAAUGAUUCGUCAGUAGCAAUCUUUUCGAAAUGUGGACCGAGUUUCUCUAUCGACAACACGUGUCACACAGCUUUUGUCUGAAAAAUAGCCCAGUAAUGCCCUUUGCAGUCUUAUAGACAUGUAUUUAGAAGAGGAUAUCUCUUAUGUUACGCAUCAGCAAAACUGUAGCCAAAUUCCAAGGGGUGUCGAUGUGAGUGCUCUCUUUCCCGUUUUGG